GUUGCUACUACUCAAAAGGCUAAAAUUGAAUAUAGUUUUCUGGGAUUGGUGGCAUUGGAUCAUGAAUUCUUUCAUAGAGCUUGAUAGCAGUUGCUUAGUUUCUUCGCUUAUGGCAUCAAUUUGAGACCUGCACAACUUAACUGUUUCAUGAAGCUGUGUUGGGCUUAAUUUAGUGUUAUUAAUUGUAGAAACUUUGAUUUU
Molecule: unclassified non-coding RNA, 201 nt
Filed under: Hevea brasiliensis (rubber tree)
Lineage: Eukaryota; Viridiplantae; Streptophyta; Magnoliopsida; Malpighiales; Euphorbiaceae
Source: RNAcentral